GGGGAAAAAAGGAUACGUCCUGGGACCACUGGCUUCCUAUUCACCAGAGCAAAAGAUAGUUCAGUCUUCAGAAACACAACAGAAGGCUUGAUGAGGUGCUGCCCAAAGCGGAGCGACAUAUUCAACAUGAAGAAACUGCCUAAGGCAUGAGGAAAUGUGGAAGCGGAAAUGGCUUGCAUAAAUGAUAUUGGAUUCCUCCUUCUACAAGCAUUGCUCAUACAACCAGAACACCGGACAUGCUGCUGUUGACAAGCUGGGACUCAUCUUGCCCACUGUGCCACAUUUGCUUCUCUCUGGAACUUUUCUGCCUAACUACUCCUUAUGUGACUAAAAAUGACAGCCCUGAUGAAAACAGGAAUCAGAAAUGCAUUACAUCCUGCCUGUGCAAGUCAAAUACUGAUGAAUUAGGCCGUAGUGUUGUAAUAACUCUAGUGACUAAUGGAACAACCCAAAGCUGUUAUUAAAAGAAGAAGAAAACGACUGAAUAAUGUAUUACCAGCACACAGUUCAGGGGAAAAUAAUUUUUUAUAAAGGAAAAUAAAAGAUUAAUAUCAAUCAUGCUA
Anolis carolinensis (green anole) is the source of this 563-nucleotide long non-coding RNA. RefSeq lists it as uncharacterized. NCBI's taxonomy places the organism in Eukaryota, Metazoa, Chordata, Lepidosauria, Squamata, Anolidae. The record is from RefSeq and is a predicted model, not a curated record. The transcript is spliced from 3 exons.